AUAUCAAUAAGCGGAGGAAAAGAAACUAACAAGGAUUCCCCUAGUAACUGCGAGUGAAGCGGGAUGAGCUCAAAUUUAAAAUCUGGCGUCUUUGGCGUCCGAGUUGUAACCUAUAGAAGCGUUUUCGGCCGCCGGAUGUGGACAAGUCCCUUGGAACAGGGCGUCAUAGAGGGUGAGAAUCCCGUACUUGCCACAACACCGUGUGUCUAUGUGAUACGCUUUCAAAGAGUCGAGUUGUUUGGGAAUGCAGCUCAAAAUGGGUGGUAAAUUCCAUCUAAAGCUAAAUAUUGGCGAGAGACCGAU
This 303-nucleotide ribosomal RNA is filed under the name uncultured Dacrymycetes. RNAcentral's name for it is "partial 28S ribosomal RNA". It matches the Rfam family "Eukaryotic large subunit ribosomal RNA", at positions 40 to 338 of the family's 3401-position model. Lineage: Eukaryota; Fungi; Basidiomycota; Dacrymycetes. The record is from RNAcentral.